This 492-nucleotide ribosomal RNA is filed under the name uncultured bacterium. Its description in RNAcentral is "partial 16S ribosomal RNA". It matches the Rfam family "Bacterial small subunit ribosomal RNA", at positions 29 to 507 of the family's 1533-position model. The record is from RNAcentral.
AGUGAACGCUGGCGGUAGGCCUAACACAUGCAAGUCGAACGGCAGCACAGUAAGAGCUUGCUCUUACGGGUGGCGAGUGGCGGACGGGUGAGGAAUACAUCGGAAUCUACUUUUUCGUUGGGGAUAACGUAGGGAAACUUACGCUAAUACCGCAUACGACCUACGGGUGAAAGCAGGGGAUCUUCGGACCUUGCGCGAUUGAAUGAGCCGAUGUCGGAUUAGCUAGUUGGCGGGGUAAAGGCCCACCAAGGCGACGAUCCGUAGCUGGUCUGAGAGGAUGAUCAGCCACACUGGAACUGAGACACGGUCCAGACUCCUACGGGAGGCAGCAGUGGGGAAUAUUGGACAAUGGGCGCAAGCCUGAUCCAGCCAUACCGCGUGGGUGAAGAAGGCCUUCGGGUUGUAAAGCCCUUUUGUUGGGAAAGAAAAGCAGCAGGUUAAUACCCCGCUGUUCUGACGGUACCCAAAGAAUAAGCACCGGCUAACCUCGUG